Molecule: ribosomal RNA, 465 nt
Filed under: uncultured bacterium
Lineage: Bacteria
Description: partial 16S ribosomal RNA
Rfam family: Bacterial small subunit ribosomal RNA
Source: RNAcentral
GACGAACGCUGGCGGCGUGCUUAACACAUGCAAGUCGAACGGAAAGGCCCCCUUGUGGGGUACUCGAGUGGCGAACGGGUGAGUAACACGUGAGUAACCUACCCUUGACUUUGGGAUAACUUCAGGAAACUGGGGCUAAUACCGGAUAGGAGCUCCUGCUGCAUGGCGGGGGUUGGAAAGUUUCGGCGGUUGGGGAUGGACUCGCGGCUUAUCAGCUUGUUGGUGGGGUAGUGGCUCACCAAGGCUUUGACGGGUAGCCGGCCUGAGAGGGUGACCGGCCACAUUGGGACUGAGAUACGGCCCAGACUCCUACGGGAGGCAGCAGUGGGGAAUAUUGCACAAUGGGCGGAAGCCUGAUGCAGCAACGCCGCGUGCGGGAUGACUGCCUUCGGGUUGUAAACCGCUUUCGCCUGUGACGAAGCGUGAGUGACGGUAAUGGGUAAAGAAGCACCGGCUAACUACGUG